CCAGUGUUGGCUGGGCCACCCAGGCGCAUCCACCUGGUCCUCAGGAACGCCGACCUCCAGGAUCCCGCUAGAGAUGGCCCAGCACACCUGAGGCGCCUACCACACCUAGGCAGGUACAGAGGUCAGAGUCGACCAGAUUCACCUUUGUGAGACCCAUCAGGGAAUUUCCUGCCUUGUGUCCUGAGACUAAGAGCCCAGCAGAGAAACUUUGGGGAAAAUGAACUGACGGAUGCUGCCCAGGGAGAGGGUCGCCUGAGUUCCCAACAUGCAGGCCUUCCUGCAAAG
This is a long non-coding RNA of Carlito syrichta (Philippine tarsier), 285 nucleotides long. RefSeq lists it as uncharacterized. The record is from RefSeq and is a predicted model, not a curated record. The transcript is spliced from 3 exons. Lineage: Eukaryota; Metazoa; Chordata; Mammalia; Primates; Tarsiidae.